RNAcentral lists this ribosomal RNA (322 nucleotides) under uncultured eukaryote. RNAcentral describes it as "partial 18S ribosomal RNA". It matches the Rfam family "Eukaryotic small subunit ribosomal RNA", at positions 1470 to 1796 of the family's 1831-position model. The record is from RNAcentral.
CCCUUAGAUGUUCUGGGCCGCACGCGUGCUACACUGAGUAAAUCGAUGGGUAAGGGAACACGAAAGUGCAACCUAAUCUUGAAAUUUGCUCGUGAUGGGGAUCGACGGUUGCAAUUUUCCGUCGUGAACGAGGAAUACCUUGUAGGCGCGUGUCAUCAUCACGCGCCGAAUACGUCCCUGCCCUUUGUACACACCGCCCGUCGCUCCUACCGAUUGAGUGAUCCGGUGAGGCUCUGGGACCUGGACGGAAAGAGCGUUUCGCUUGUUCUGUUUGGGAAACUUGGUCGAACCUUAUCAUUUAGAGGAAGGAGAAGUCGUAACA